Molecule: transfer RNA, 88 nt
Organism: Hymenobacter sp. CRA2
Lineage: Bacteria; Pseudomonadati; Bacteroidota; Cytophagia; Cytophagales; Hymenobacteraceae
Rfam family: tRNA
About the family: Transfer RNA (tRNA) molecules are approximately 80 nucleotides in length. Their secondary structure includes four short double-helical elements and three loops (D, anti-codon, and T loops). Further hydrogen bonds mediate the characteristic L-shaped molecular structure. tRNAs have two regions of fundamental functional importance: the anti-codon, which is responsible for specific mRNA codon recognition, and the 3' end, to which the tRNAs corresponding amino acid is attached (by aminoacyl-tRNA synthetases). tRNAs cope with the degeneracy of the genetic code in two manners: having more than one tRNA (with a specific anti-codon) for a particular amino acid; and 'wobble' base-pairing, i.e. permitting non-standard base-pairing at the 3rd anti-codon position.
Source: Rfam
AGAGAGGUGUCCGAGUGGUCGAAGGAGCACGCCUGGAAAGUGUGUAUGGCCCAAAAGGUCAUCGUGGGUUCGAAUCCCAUCCUCUCUG